AUUUUUUUUAUGAUUCAUAAGUGUGAUGAUUGGAGUUUCACACUAUUGUGUGAGAUGUGCCUCCCUCAAACCUCCUCACAAUGAUGUCAACACAUUACCUGUCUGACA
Molecule: small nucleolar RNA, 108 nt
Organism: Cynocephalus volans (Philippine flying lemur)
Lineage: Eukaryota; Metazoa; Chordata; Mammalia; Dermoptera; Cynocephalidae
Product: small nucleolar RNA U13
Exons: 1
Source: RefSeq, a predicted model, not a curated record